This 1335-nucleotide ribosomal RNA is filed under the name Pediococcus acidilactici. Its description in RNAcentral is "bacterial SSU rRNA". It matches the Rfam family "Bacterial small subunit ribosomal RNA", at positions 92 to 1414 of the family's 1533-position model. Lineage: Bacteria; Bacillati; Bacillota; Bacilli; Lactobacillales; Lactobacillaceae. The record is from RNAcentral.
UGAGUGGCGGACGGGUGAGUAACACGUGGGUAACCUGCCCAGAAGCAGGGGAUAACACCUGGAAACAGAUGCUAAUACCGUAUAACAGAGAAAACCGCCUGGUUUUCUUUUAAAAGAUGGCUCUGCUAUCACUUCUGGAUGGACCCGCGGCGCAUUAGCUAGUUGGUGAGGUAACGGCUCACCAAGGCGAUGAUGCGUAGCCGACCUGAGAGGGUAAUCGGCCACAUUGGGACUGAGACACGGCCCAGACUCCUACGGGAGGCAGCAGUAGGGAAUCUUCCACAAUGGACGCAAGUCUGAUGGAGCAACGCCGCGUGAGUGAAGAAGGGUUUCGGCUCGUAAAGCUCUGUUGUUAAAGAAGAACGUGGGUGAGAGUAACUGUUCACCCAGUGACGGUAUUUAACCAGAAAGCCACGGCUAACUACGUGCCAGCAGCCGCGGUAAUACGUAGGUGGCAAGCGUUAUCCGGAUUUAUUGGGCGUAAAGCGAGCGCAGGCGGUCUUUUAAGUCUAAUGUGAAAGCCUUCGGCUCAACCGAAGAAGUGCAUUGGAAACUGGGAGACUUGAGUGCAGAAGAGGACAGUGGAACUCCAUGUGUAGCGGUGAAAUGCGUAGAUAUAUGGAAGAACACCAGUGGCGAAGGCGGCUGUCUGGUCUGUAACUGACGCUGAGGCUCGAAAGCAUGGGUAGCGAACAGGAUUAGAUACCCUGGUAGUCCAUGCCGUAAACGAUGAUUACUAAGUGUUGGAGGGUUUCCGCCCUUCAGUGCUGCAGCUAACGCAUUAAGUAAUCCGCCUGGGGAGUACGACCGCAAGGUUGAAACUCAAAAGAAUUGACGGGGGCCCGCACAAGCGGUGGAGCAUGUGGUUUAAUUCGAAGCUACGCGAAGAACCUUACCAGGUCUUGACAUCUUCUGCCAACCUAAGAGAUUAGGCGUUCCCUUCGGGGACAGAAUGACAGGUGGUGCAUGGUUGUCGUCAGCUCGUGUCGUGAGAUGUUGGGUUAAGUCCCGCAACGAGCGCAACCCUUAUUACUAGUUGCCAGCAUUCAGUUGGGCACUCUAGUGAGACUGCCGGUGACAAACCGGAAGGAAGGUGGGGACGACGUCAAAUCAUCAUGCCCCUUAUGACCUGGGCUACACACGUGCUACAAUGGAUGGUACAACGAGUCGCGAAACCGCGAGGUUUAGCUAAUCUCUUAAAACCAUUCUCAGUUCGGACUGUAGGCUGCAACUCGCCUACACGAAGUCGGAAUCGCUAGUAAUCGCGGAUCAGCAUGCCGCGGUGAAUACGUUCCCGGGCCUUGUACACACCGCCCGUCACACCAUGAGAGUUUG